UACGGGGGGAGCAAGCGUUGUUCGGAUUUACUGGGCGUAAAGGGCGCGUAGGCGGUCAGCACAAGUCAGUUGUGAAAUCUCCGGGCUUAACUCGGAAAGGUCAACUGAUACUGUGCGACUAGAGUGCAGAAGGGGCAACUGGAAUUCUCGGUGUAGCGGUGAAAUGCGUAGAUAUCAAGAGGAACACCUGAGGUGAAGACGGGUUGCUGGGCCAACACUGACGCUGAGGCGCGAAAGCCAGGGGAGCAAACGGG
This 254-nucleotide ribosomal RNA is filed under the name uncultured bacterium. RNAcentral's name for it is "partial 16S ribosomal RNA". It matches the Rfam family "Bacterial small subunit ribosomal RNA", at positions 524 to 776 of the family's 1533-position model. The record is from RNAcentral.